UCAAGUGUGGGUACCAUUGUCUGGAAGAUGUUGAAUCAGCUGCAGACCAUCCUGAGAUAGGAAGUCAGACAUCAAGGAAGAGGUCCUGCUACCCUGAGACAACACACACUGGAGAAGCAACACCCAGCCAUAGCCAGUCUCCAGCGCAGCCCCGUGAGUGACCCUCUGGGGCGCCUUGGCCAGCUAGCCCCACCUGACAUCUGGACUGCAACUGCAUCCGAGUCCCAGAAGUGGAUUUCCUGAAGGAAAAAUCAGGCGGCAAGCAAAGUGCUGUUAGCACAGGAAUUGACCAAGGACGGAGCCACGCAUUUUGCAACUGGUUCUGGAAUCCAUCUCCAUGUAGAUCAAGGUCUACUUCCCUCUGUGUCCCCAGGGUUUUCCUGACUCAUCUUGCAGAUCAAACUGGUUCCUGGGAGCCUGAGGUGUAUUGUGAAGGACAGAGAAGGAUGUGUUUAGGAGAGGUGUCAGCCCCACAUACAGAAAAAGUUACUUAGCAUUGGCAAGUUUUCUUCACUGCUUGGCAAGCUUUCCUCCUUUUCCUUAUUUAUCUAUGCUGUUUUUUUCCUCAGGUAUGUUUCUAAUGCUCAGAGAAGUUACCAGUGGUUUCCUGCUCUGUUUUCUCAUUUCUUUCUCAUUCGUUUCAUCUCCCAUUUCUGUUCUCUAAACCUAAAGCAGUAAGAUGACUGUCUGGUCUCUUCUUGGCUCUCAUAAAGCCUCAUUAAUUUGAAGAGACUGCUACGUUGCAAAUAGGGAGGCCUCUUGAGAAUGAUUGUUGGGUGGGCAAACAGUGGUGUGUGCUGCAGGAAAUUGACGAAUUGGAGCCUGAUGAUAUUGUUAUAGACCAAGGGAAUGCCAAGAGGAAGGCAAGCCAGGAAUUCUCAUCUGAGAAGGCUGCAUUUGUGUUGAAAUACCAGUAAUCAACUAAAUAGGCCUCAAGACUAUUUAUAUUUGUGGAAAUUCUUCUGUAAAUAAAGCAAAAAGUAUAUUCA
RNAcentral lists this long non-coding RNA (989 nucleotides) under Bos indicus x Bos taurus (hybrid cattle). RNAcentral describes it as "lncRNA (ENSBIXG00005016223.1)". Lineage: Eukaryota; Metazoa; Chordata; Mammalia; Artiodactyla; Bovidae. The record is from RNAcentral.